GCGGAGGGAGGGAGACGAGGUGGAGAUUCACUGACCCUGAAAAUCGCUCUCUCCUACCUUCUUCCUAGACAAGUCCACAUUGUCACCUUUCCUUGAUAGCAGGGUGAUAAUUAAUGUUCCACCCAAGAGAGGUUUCAUUUUUCCACCAGAAUUACCUAUUAAUUUGCUAGAUUCUUCUGAUUAAGCAGUGAGCCUGUCAGCAUGGGUUCAUCAUUCCGCACAUCCUUUCCUUUCAACAACUAAAUCAAGGCCCCAACCAACCCAGACAUUUUCAAUUUCCUCUCUCACCAUGUGGAUGUUCCCCUGUCUUUUAAUAACAUUUUUCAGUCAGCUCCUGUCUCCCUGAGCAAGCCGAUUUUUGCUUCAUAAAAAGCCGCUAUUGUCUCCACCUACUUACUUCAUAGAGGAAGGUAACGGUUCCCAUCAGUGCCUGGAAAUGGAAACCUGAAGAUUCCCUGCUUGAGAGGAAGGCCUCCUGCUAACACAGAAGAGUCUCUGCUGGGAAGUACACCCACCCCCCAACUCUGGAGAGCGAGGGGCCUUGCCGUGUCCUGUAUCUGCAAGGCAGAGACUAUCAGUGGGGCCCAGGAAGAAGAAGGGCAUCUGUGAAAGAGUAAGCAGACUCAUUGUGCAGCAGAUGUGAACUCAAGACAAGCUUUUGAAAUCCCACUUCUGGGCAGACAUGCAUUUCCUUCCAUUCACCUUCAAGCCACAGGUAUGAACAAAGGCUCAAAACAUACUUCCUGGGUUCAUAAAUCACAACAAAUUUGGUCCAACGUGGUCCUCCUGCUGUCUAGACUCCUGGGCAGAGAUCUCUGCAUAGUCAUCAUACAGUGGCCUGUAAACACAAUCUAAGGACCCCAAACUGAGAUCACAGGUCACUAACAAGGAUACACGUAAGAAGAUUCAUCAUCAGGGCUCAGACACAGCCUGAAGGCACGCUCAAAGUCUUUCUAUCUCAAGAGUCUAAGCGAAGAAGAUCAAGUUCAAAAUCUGACAUGGCAGGUGAUUUUGAAAUACCCAAGAGACUCAAGUAUGCAGUAGGAUGUUGAUCUGCAGGCCAGAAGAGUUACAAUGCAGAAUCAUUGUAUUCAUUGUCUCCUUGCUAUGGCAAAUGUCUGAGAAAGGUUGCUGAAGGAGGGAAGGUUUAUUUCGGCUCAGAGUUCAAGAGUCCAGAAAAGCUUGUCAUGGUGGAGGAGUCAAGGCAACCCAGGUGUGAAGAGGUUGGUCACACAAGAGACAAACGAGCCGAAAUUUAGUAGCACAUACACCUUGUGCGCACACAGAUGAUGUCACAGGAAAAGUGAGUGAGUCUCACAGAAGUGGCUUAGAGCACAGGUUCAAAUCCCAUCUCCUCCCACAACGAAGGAAGGUGUUGGUGAAGAGGGGAUCGUUCCAGAAGCGUCCAGCAAAAGUCAGGAUGGUGGUGUAGCUCCCUUCUUUCUCCAUUAGUGAGACUUGGGCUCACUCUUCUAUGGAGAAGGAGGUAUACAAAUGGAUGCUUUCUUCCCAUCUCCACACAGGAGGGCCGGGAUUGCAAGCAGCUCUUUUGGUUUGUUAGCUUUUGUUUGUUUUUAGUAGGACAUUUUUGUUUGUUUGGUUGUUUGUUUUUAUCCACUGAGGCAUUAAUUCUGCUUAUGUUUUUUUAAUAAAAGGAAAGCAUGCUAUGAAACGGUUUUUGUAGAAUGCCAGCCUUAUUGGGAAUGGAGGU
Long non-coding RNA from Peromyscus californicus insignis, 1711 nucleotides. RefSeq lists it as uncharacterized. Lineage: Eukaryota; Metazoa; Chordata; Mammalia; Rodentia; Cricetidae. The transcript has 3 exons. The record is from RefSeq and is a predicted model, not a curated record.